GUUUAUUUAUACAUUAUAAUAUAAUAUAUAUUAUAAGUACAUACCAUUAUCCGAGACCUAUAUAUGCAUAUAAACAUAUUUUACACAAUUUUUAAAUAAUUUUGCAUGUGAAUAAUAAAUUUCGCAUACCUUUCAAACGCUGCAGUAUGCGUAAAUAAAUGUUCUACUUCAUUGUUUGCAUAAUAAACUCAUGUCUUAACUCGUGUCACACCAAACUGGAAUGAAAAUAUUGAAAUAAUAAAAUGGAAAAAUCUCCAGCCAAUAAUAUUACUACCGUUAAUGUAUUAUUAUUUCGUAACUCUGACCAACCAGUCCGAGUCGACUGCGUUUUUGUGUACUUGCGGGUACCUACCUUCGUGUUUUAUGCCGCCGCUAAAAAUAUAUUAAGACGGCGUUUUGUAUAGGCAUUUUAUGUGCAUCCGUGAGUUCCAUUGACUUAGUACUAAAGAAUGAUGAUAAAAUUAUACUUGUGAGUAGUUGUGCUCUGAGAAAACGAAUUGAUUUUUAUUUUGAAAUUGAUUCCAAAAUAUUAAAUUAUUUAGCAUUCCAGAGCCGUUAUUCGGGGGAUCCAUCGAUAUCAAAUAUAUUUUUUUUCUUAAUUUAUAAAUUUGUUUUUUAAAAAUAAAUAGAUUUUGUUAAUGCACAAUUGUACAGAUUUUUUCAUUGUCAAAAAUUCGUUGAAACUAAAAAAAUCUCAUGUCAAAUGAAAACAAAAAUAAACACAAUGGUAAAAAAUAAACAUUUCUUUUAUUAACCGAUUAAAUAUACAUUUAUUUUUUUGGUUAACUUGCAACAAUUGUUAUAAAACAUUUACCAUAGUUUUGAAAGUGUUCACAUUUCUAUAUACGCUUUUUGGUUUCCACGCAUUAAAUGAACACCUAUCGUUAAGAUGUAUAUUAUUGUUAAUUGUGGAAAAUCAACGACCAGUACCCACGCCUAAUGGCGUUAUGUAUAAUGCACACUCACAUACACAAAUACAUACAAAAUACAAAUACCUAUAUACCUAUAUAUUAUACAUAAUAUGCGUUUAUAGAUGAUGUAUUGAAUAACGGCGGUCGUUAAGAGAAAAAAAAAUUUUCUACGGGUUAUAAUGUUAUGAGUGAAAGGCAAUUACGAACGUCUUUUUUAUAUUGGCGUGAAAAUCCAACACGGAAAACCAACAGAAAAUUCGUUGUCGUCUACAAAAGCAGUAGCACGUUUACAUAUAUAUGUAUAUAUAUAAUAUUAUCCCGAACAACCGGAUGAUGGUGGCCGUCUAUAUAAAUAACACGCAUGCACGCGUAUAUAAUAGAAAGUUACGAUAUAAUAAUGUCACCGUUAAAUGAUUUUUAGAUCAUUUAUAUUUCGUGCGUGCGUCCGCCACCCGUCGUCAUCAAAACGAUUUGAACGCGCGCUGGUUAACGAUUUCAACUUUCACGGCUCAUUUGAAUAUCAAUUAAAAAUCUCGCGAAUGUCACGCCUCGAGAGCGCAUAUCGCGCGCGGCGCCGGUCCGUUUGCUGUUCGGCUGCUGCAGUGUCUAUAUAUAAUAAUGUGUAUACAUAUAUAUAUAAAACGUAUACACGGUUAUUAUUUAUUCGUCAACUGGAGCGUAUAUCAAAUAGACACAUGCUUACCUGCCUACCUGCCUAACUAUACACAAACACAGUUGCGAUGAGAGAAAGUCCGCUAUCGUUACCGGGCAAGUUUAAAAAAUAAAUAAAAUUCCCACAGUAAUAAUAUGCAGGUAAAUAUAUACAUGACAUAAUCCGUCGAAGAUGCAAUGCUGCUUGACCGUUUUUCUUUUCUUUUUUUUUAUUUGUAAUCGUUUCUCUUUCGUCUCUAACGCGAAGAUAGAAUAUAUAUAUAUAGAUGCGUAUAUUAGGUAUAUGUAUUAUGUAGGUACCUAUUUACUAUUUGUUAGAUUCUUUGAUAUAAGCUCACACUCACGCCCUAAUCCUAGCACUGUUUAUAUACAUGUGACUAUAUAAACCAUAUAUACACGUGAUGAGAAAGAAAUAUUCACAUUAUAAAAAUGUGUAUUAAAAUAAUAUAAUUGCAGUUACAUGUUUUAUGCAUAUCAAAUAUUGAAAUAUCACAAAUCGGAAUAUUAUUUGAAUAAGAGUAUAUAAGUAUAUUAUGUUUUUAUAAACAUCACAUUAUUAUGUGGAGACGUUGUAAAUUAUUGUGAUCACAACUCCUCGGCCAUAGGGCCAUAGUAUACAUUUACAGAUUUUCGUUAAAUCAAACCAUGUUUAACAUUUAAGAAAUUAUACUAACAUCAGCGACCAAAUUACAAGUAUGUUUCAAUCAUAAAUAUUUAGUGUGAUGUAUUAUUAUAAUAACUUUUCUUAUACAAGCUUAGCUUUCAUUUUGUUUUACAAGUACACUACAGUCUACAAUGUUGCAUUAAUAUUGAGUUCCGAGUGACAUAGACAAUAACUGAUCAUUUAAUGAAUGAAUAGUAAACCUAAAAUAGUCCAUUAUAGAUAUUUUAAACAUGAUUUAAUGGCCCAUGAUUGGUCCAUUAAGUUUUAGUGAACCGUUUUAAGUUAACCAAUUUUGUAUGCUACUGUUUAACAUUAUUCAUAUAAUAUACAAGUACAUCGUACAUGUGAAACCGUUUCAAAUCGUCAAAAUCUAUAGUUUUCAUAGAAUUCUAUCUCUAUAUUUACAUAGUGUCAUUGUUAUAAUACUGCAGUAUUAUACUCGAUAUAAAACCAUAGUUCUAAAAAAACGCAUAAAAGGUAUUAGGUUUUCAUCUGGGCCGCGUUCUAUUGACUUUCUCUACCAACUAUAUUUCUGCCUUCACAAUAUUAUAUUUAAGACACUACGUCAACAUACUACGUAUUUUGCGUGAUCUAUUCCGUGGGUAGGCAGUACGCGCGUGUGUAUGUGUGUGUGUGUGUUGUAUUUGUUUAAAGUUUUUUGGAUUCGCACAUACCAUAUAUAUAUAUAUAUAUCAUAUUAUCAGAGUGAAAUCAGAAGCGCGCACUUUUUUCAAUGUUUACGCAUUGGUGUGCACUAUGUGAUAUAAUAUAUCCAUUAAUUUUCUUUCUUCUAUCUCCCUCUCUCUCUCCUCUCUUCUUUUGGUGUCUUGACGGGUGUGAAAUUUGACGUUUCACGAUUUCUCUGCUUUCUUCCGUCAUCGCUCGUUAAAACGAAAGACGACAAAUAAGAAAAUAAUGAGGAAAAAAAUGCGUAUACAAAAUUAGCAUGUAUAUAAAACACCAGCGGGUGGGUUUGCCUUCGCAUUCAGUCGUCACCAUUCAUCGACGCUGCGGCGGUCACGGCAGCUGCUCAGUCGAGAUUAGUAUAUUGUCCUAAUUAUCAGUUAUAAAUUACAAUAAUAACAAUAAAUGGUUAUUGGACGAAAAUACUAAUUAAACUAAAUAAUAAUUAUAUAUUGUUUACUGCAGAUACUGGUCGCGAACUCACGUUUUGAAACGCCCUGGAAAUCGCAACAGUCUCGCUAAGUCCUUUAGCUGCACACUAUACUAUUUGGACCAAAUGGGAUUUUCAUAUAUUCUCAAAAACAAACAUUACUCAUUUUAUUUUUUAAUAAAUUGUUCGAAUAAUAAUAUAUAUAUAUAUGAUGUAUAUAAUAUGGACAUCAUAUUAUGAAGGUAUGUAAUAUUUCGCUCUUAUAUUGAUCAUCGAUUUAUACAUGACGAGGUACUUCAGUUUAAUAUUGCUUCGUACAAAAGAAAAAAUAGUCAACAACUACGAUCUUUUCGAUAGCUAAUUCUACUAUAUUGUAAAUAACUUAUUUAUUCGAUUAAUAUUUUUAGUUAAUCAAUUAAUUACGGAUUUAAAAUUAUAAAACUAAAUUAUUUUAAAUUAUGUAAUGAAAUUUUACUAUAUUUAAACAUAAUAUAUAAUUUAUAUCAAAAACGCGUAGCUAUAGUGUAUCUUAAAGUCACUUGCUAAGGUGCACAUGUAGAUAAAUUAUUGUUUUUUUUUUAAACAUGGCUGUGAUAAAAUAAUUUUUUGCGAUCCUUAUAUUUUUUUCCCGACGGUUUUUAUCUAAAAUGCUGUUUAACAAAAACGACACCGUGGGACUUUUAAAACUUCAAGGCCAGCAAUUAACUUUUUAUUGAAAAAAUUACAUAGUUGAAAUAUCAAUUUAUUAUUUUUCAUAAACUAUUUAUAAUACAUACUAUACUGUUAUAACCAAUAUACUUAAAUUAUUUCCCAUUUAUACUUCUACAGCAUAAGUAAACAUACAACUUAACUACUAUACUAACAACAAUGAUUUUUCUUUGGAACUGUAUACUAUAAUAUAGUGUAUUAUAAAUAUACAAUAUUUAACUUUUACGUUUACUUAAUACGUUUGUACAUGAAAAUUACUAAUCAAUAUAUGAAACAUACGGAUUUUUGUUUUAGAAGAAAAUAAUGUCUACCUACUAACGUAACUGCACAUAGCAGAUAUAUUAAUUACUUUACACGUACCUACUUGCUGUAUAAAUAAAUAAAUAUUUUUUUAAACA
This is a long non-coding RNA of Aphis gossypii (cotton aphid), 4467 nucleotides long. RefSeq lists it as uncharacterized. The transcript has 2 exons. Lineage: Eukaryota; Metazoa; Arthropoda; Insecta; Hemiptera; Aphididae. The record is from RefSeq and is a predicted model, not a curated record.